Molecule: ribosomal RNA, 307 nt
Filed under: uncultured eukaryote
Lineage: Eukaryota
Description: partial 18S ribosomal RNA
Rfam family: Eukaryotic small subunit ribosomal RNA
Source: RNAcentral
CCCUUAGACGUUCUGGGCCGCACGCGCGCUACACUGACGAAGGCAACGAGCUUUCCUUUACCGAAAGGUACGGGUAAUCUUUUGAAACUUCGUCGUGCUGGGGAUAGAUCCUUGCAAUUUUUGAUCUUAAACGAGGAAUGCCUAGUAAGCGCAAGUCAUCAACUUGCGUUGAUUACGUCCCUGCCCUUUGUACACACCGCCCGUCGCUACUACCGAUUGAAUGGUUUAGUGAGGCCUUCGGAUCCGCGACUCAUUUGUGGAGAAGUUGGACAAACUCAGUCAUUUAGAGGAAGUAAAAGUCGUAACA